Molecule: ribosomal RNA, 496 nt
Filed under: uncultured bacterium
Lineage: Bacteria
Description: partial 16S ribosomal RNA
Rfam family: Bacterial small subunit ribosomal RNA
Source: RNAcentral
AUGAACGCUGGCGGCGUGCCUAAUCCCUGCAAGCCGAGCGAACAGAUGAGGAGCUUGCUCCUCUGACGUUAGCGGCGGACGGGUGAGUAACACGUGGAUAACCUACCUAUAAGACUGGGAUAACUUCGGGAAACCGGAGCUAAUACCGGAUAAUAUAUUGAACCGCAUGGUUCAAUAGUGAAAGACGGUUUUGCUGUCACUUAUAGAUGGAUCCGCGCCGCAUUAGCUAGUUGGUAAGGUAACGGCUUACCAAGGCAACGAUGCGUAGCCGACCUGAGAGGGUGAUCGGCCACACUGGAACUGAGACACGGUCCAGACUCCUACGGGAGGCAGCAGUAGGGAAUCUUCCGCAAUGGGCGAAAGCUUGACGGAGCAACGCCGCGUGAGUGAUGAAGGUCUUCGGAUCGUAAAACUCUGUUAUUAGGGAAGAACAAAUGUGUAAGUAACUAUGCACGUCUUGACGGUACCUAAUCAGAAAGCCACGGCUAACUACGUG